GGGCCGUUAGCUCAGUUGGCUAGAGCGCUUCCAUGGCAUGGAAGAGGUCGCUGGUUCAAAUCCAGUACGGUCCA
Molecule: transfer RNA, 74 nt
Filed under: Candidatus Spechtbacterales bacterium
Lineage: Bacteria; Bacillati; Minisyncoccota; Minisyncoccia; Candidatus Spechtbacterales
Description: tRNA-Ala
Rfam family: tRNA
About the family: Transfer RNA (tRNA) molecules are approximately 80 nucleotides in length. Their secondary structure includes four short double-helical elements and three loops (D, anti-codon, and T loops). Further hydrogen bonds mediate the characteristic L-shaped molecular structure. tRNAs have two regions of fundamental functional importance: the anti-codon, which is responsible for specific mRNA codon recognition, and the 3' end, to which the tRNAs corresponding amino acid is attached (by aminoacyl-tRNA synthetases). tRNAs cope with the degeneracy of the genetic code in two manners: having more than one tRNA (with a specific anti-codon) for a particular amino acid; and 'wobble' base-pairing, i.e. permitting non-standard base-pairing at the 3rd anti-codon position.
Source: RNAcentral